UACGUAGGGUGCGAGCGUUGUCCGGAAUUAUUGGGCGUAAAGAGCUCGUAGGCGGUGUGUCGCGUCGGCCGUGAAAACCUGGGGCUCAACUCUGGGCGUGCGGUCGAUACGGGCAUCACUUGAGUUCGGCAGGGGAGACUGGAAUUCCUGGUGUAGCGGUGAAAUGCGCAGAUAUCGGGAGGAACACCGGUGGCGAAGGCGGUUCUCUGGGCCUUACCUGACGCUGAGGAGCGAAAGCGUGGGGAGCGAACAGG
RNAcentral lists this ribosomal RNA (254 nucleotides) under uncultured bacterium. RNAcentral's name for it is "partial 16S ribosomal RNA". It matches the Rfam family "Bacterial small subunit ribosomal RNA", at positions 524 to 776 of the family's 1533-position model. The record is from RNAcentral.